This is a long non-coding RNA of Sorex fumeus (smoky shrew), 569 nucleotides long. RefSeq lists it as uncharacterized. Lineage: Eukaryota; Metazoa; Chordata; Mammalia; Eulipotyphla; Soricidae. The transcript is spliced from 3 exons. The record is from RefSeq and is a predicted model, not a curated record.
UUGCAAAGCUCCUCCUGCACUUUGAAAAUGAAACCAAAAGUCCCCACUCCCAUAUAAAAGCAGCUCUGCUUUGCGGAAAUCAGGAACUGCUUCCCAGGAUGGCAGCUUGGGGCCGGGAGAACUCCAGAAGGAGGGGCCCACCUCCCCCGCCCCCGCCUCCGCGUCAGCGGGUUGGGGAUGUUUCCAGACUGUCCCUCUACCCAGAUCAGAGGCAUUUCUGCACGCCGACCCAGGGAUGAGGCUGGAAUGCAGUCUUCCGUUCACAAGUGAGGCGACUCCAGGCUUCAGGAGAAGGAAACGCCUGUCUGGAAUUGGGGACCAAACAGUCUGCUCGCUGUCAGAUCAGCCAUGGCAAGAUCCAGGAAGAAGUCCUGAUUCAACUUGGAAUCAUUUUUGUCACUGACCCACCCUCGGAACUGAGAAGGUUCCAUCCUGAAGGAGGUGUCUCUGGGAGCCAACUUGGGCCCAGGCACAUUUCUCCCCACCACAGAAGCAACAGGUUUAGCUUACUCUUAAAGAAGGAUGUGCUCAGGUUUUGUAAAAAAUACUGAAAAUAAAGGAUGUUUGGU